This 465-nucleotide ribosomal RNA is filed under the name uncultured Klebsiella sp. RNAcentral's name for it is "bacterial SSU rRNA". It matches the Rfam family "Bacterial small subunit ribosomal RNA", at positions 338 to 795 of the family's 1533-position model. Lineage: Bacteria; Pseudomonadati; Pseudomonadota; Gammaproteobacteria; Enterobacterales; Enterobacteriaceae. The record is from RNAcentral.
CCUACGGGUGGCUGCAGUGGGGAAUAUUGCACAAUGGGCGCAAGCCUGAUGCAGCCAUGCCGCGUGUGUGAAGAAGGCCUUCGGGUUGUAAAGCACUUUCAGCGGGGAGGAAGGCGUUAAGGUUAAUAACCUUGUCGAUUGACGUUACCCGCAGAAGAAGCACUGGCUAACUCCGUGCCAGCAGCCGCGGUAAUACGGAGGGUGCAAGCGUUAAUCGGAAUUACUGGGCGUAAAGCGCACGCAGGCGGUCUGUCAAGUCGGAUGUGAAAUCCCCGGGCUUAACCUGGGAACUGCAUUCGAAACUGGCAGGCUAGAGUCUUGGAGAGGGGGGUAGAAUUCCAGGUGUAGCGGUGAAAUGCGUAGAGAUCUGGAGGAAUACCGGUGGCGAAGGCGGCCCCCUGGACAAAGACUGACGCUCAGGUGCGAAAGCGUGGGGAGCAAACAGGAUUAGAUACCCUAGUAGUC